This 303-nucleotide ribosomal RNA is filed under the name uncultured bacterium. Its description in RNAcentral is "partial 16S ribosomal RNA". It matches the Rfam family "Bacterial small subunit ribosomal RNA", at positions 510 to 808 of the family's 1533-position model. The record is from RNAcentral.
AGCAGCGCCGCGGGAAUACAGAGGGUGCGAGCGUUAAUCGGAUUUACUGGGCGUAAAGCGUGCGUAGGCGGCUUUUUAAGUCGGAUGUGAAAUCCCUGAGCUUAACUUAGGAAUUGCAUUCGAUACUGGGAAGCUAGAGUAUGGGAGAGGAUGGUAGAAUUCCAGGUGUAGCGGUGAAAUGCGUAGAGAUCUGGAGGAAUACCGAUGGCGAAGGCAGCCAUCUGGCCUAAUACUGACGCUGAGGUACGAAAGCAUGGGGAGCAAACAGGAUUAGAUACCCGCGUAGUCCCUGUCUCUUAUACA